This 484-nucleotide ribosomal RNA is filed under the name uncultured bacterium. Its description in RNAcentral is "partial 16S ribosomal RNA". It matches the Rfam family "Bacterial small subunit ribosomal RNA", at positions 30 to 507 of the family's 1533-position model. The record is from RNAcentral.
AUUGAACGCUGGCGGCAUGCUUUACACAUGCAAGUCGAACGGCAGCGCGGGCUUCGGCCUGGCGGCGAGUGGCGAACGGGUGAGUAAUACAUCGGAACGUGCCCAGUAGUGGGGGAUAGCUCGGCGAAAGCCGGAUUAAUACCGCUUACGACCUGAGGGUGAAAGCGGGGGAUCUUCGGACCUCGCGCUAUUUGAGCGGCCGAUGGCAGAUUAGCUAGUUGGUGGGGUAAAGGCCUACCAAGGCGACGAUCUGUAGCUGGUCUGAGAGGACGACCAGCCACACUGGGACUGAGACACGGCCCAGACUCCUACGGGAGGCAGCAGUGGGGAAUUUUGGACAAUGGGCGAAAGCCUGAUCCAGCAAUGCCGCGUGUGUGAUGAAGGCCUUCGGGUUGUAAAGCACUUUUGGCGGGAACGAAAAGGACUGUGCCAAUACCACGGUUCGAUGACGGUACCCGCAGAAUAAGCACCGGCUAACUACGUG